RNAcentral lists this ribosomal RNA (511 nucleotides) under uncultured Bacillota bacterium. RNAcentral's name for it is "bacterial SSU rRNA". It matches the Rfam family "Bacterial small subunit ribosomal RNA", at positions 394 to 896 of the family's 1533-position model. Lineage: Bacteria; Bacillati; Bacillota. The record is from RNAcentral.
CGACCGCGUGAGCGAAGAAGGCCUUCGGGUCGUAAAGCUCUGUUGUUAGGGAAGAACAAGUAUCGGAGUAACUGCCGGUACCUUGACGGUACCUAACCAGAAAGCCACGGCUAACUACGUGCCAGCAGCCGCGGUAAUACGUAGGUGGCAAGCGUUGUCCGGAAUUAUUGGGCGUAAAGCGCGCGCAGGCGGUCCUUUAAGUCUGAUGUGAAAGCCCACGGCUCAACCGUGGAGGGUCAUUGGAAACUGGGGGACUUGAGUGCAGAAGAGGAGAGUGGAAUUCCACGUGUAGCGGUGAAAUGCGUAGAGAUGUGGAGGAACACCAGUGGCGAAGGCGACUCUCUGGUCUGUAACUGACGCUGAGGCGCGAAAGCGUGGGGAGCAAACAGGAUUAGAUACCCUGGUAGUCCACGCCGUAAACGAUGAGUGCUAAGUGUUAGAGGGUUUCCGCCCUUUAGUGCUGCAGCUAACGCAUUAAGCACUCCGCCUGGGGAGUACGGCCGCAAGGCUG